GUCUCUCGCUGGUGCUGGCACAGGAGCUUGGGAUCUGUCUCCUCUUUCGCCUCCUGCACCUUGAGAGCCCUGGGCUACUCUGUCACAGCCCCUGUUGCCCUGCGAUCUGUAGGUCCUUGGGGACGCAUAGUUAAGGUGCCAGGACAUCCUGGAAGCUGGGAAAUGAUUUCUUCCAGACCAUGGCUGGAGAAGGAAAGAAGGUGUGUUUUGCCUGAUUCAGGGACUAUAGAGAGAACCAAGUUCUGCAGGCCUGUCAUCUAAGUCUCAGGGCGGGGAGACCUUCCUUCCCCACGGGUUUGAGGCUAUGGCUAAGUGGUGAGCCUUGGUGAGACGCAGAAAGGAUCCAUCCCAGGCACUUGGCUAGAGGGCAAGAAAGCUUUCUAAGACCCCGAACUCCAGAUAUGCGAUGGGGCAAAUCCUGAAGCGUACAUGGCUAUCUCUCACAGCUAAAGCAUCCCUCACCCCUAUCCAGCGCUUCUUACCCCUGGCGCAAGAGAAUCACCUGCGGGGAGGAAAACUUUCAAAAUCCCUUAAACCCAAGUUGUAACCGCACAACUAAAUCAGAAUCCUUGGAGCUGGAUCUGAAAAAAAUAUGGUUGAAAGUCGUGCAGGUGAUUACAAUGUGUAGGCAAGCCAGAAAACCAUGGCUUUAACGAGCAGCUUUU
Molecule: long non-coding RNA, 665 nt
Filed under: Homo sapiens (human)
Lineage: Eukaryota; Metazoa; Chordata; Mammalia; Primates; Hominidae
Description: non-protein coding lnc-SIK1B-187:2
Source: RNAcentral